This 1458-nucleotide long non-coding RNA is filed under the name Monodelphis domestica (gray short-tailed opossum). RNAcentral describes it as "lncRNA (ENSMODG00000037499.1)". The record is from RNAcentral. Lineage: Eukaryota; Metazoa; Chordata; Mammalia; Didelphimorphia; Didelphidae.
GUGGCCCAUGGUGCUAAAUUAACUGUUAACACAAAUAAUCAAAGUACAAGGCCCAUCAAGCCGCUGGCGCCAGCAAAAUGAGGGAGAGGCCAGGUCAGCCUUGCUCCAAAGAGCCAGGCCACUAGCAGGUGGAGACGAACCAAGGGACCGGACAGGAUGGAAGUGCUUACAGAACACAGUGACCAACUGACAGAGGAAAACGCCACUGCACUCCCGCCUUCCAGCUAUUGUGUGGGCCCAGGGUUUGAAAACAUCUCAUGAGGAGAAAUGUCUUUAUUAAGAAAUUGACUGUCUAAAAUUUAAACAUGAAUGCAUAUUCUGUAGGGAAAGUAUCUCUCCCUCCACCCAAGAACUUCUCCAAGCAUUAAAACAUGUCUUGAAUUAUAAGCAGCUAGUAACAAAAAACUAAGGAACAAAAACUGAGCAACAGCAUGAAAUGCAUACACAUAUAUCCAGUGUAUUUUCAUAAAUAUUUGGCUCUGGUGUACAUAUCAGAUGAUUACUCUAAGGACAUCCGAAUGAGACUUUAGCUGUAUCUACAGGGAGCCAAAUCAGUUUUUAAAGUUAAAACUGAUGUCAAAUUAACAUCUGCACAAGCUUACCUGCAUACCUUAAGUACACACUGUACUUUCUGCCUUUUAGAAUUCUUCUCUUUCUUCAAGGCAGGAUGUAGGUGCCAUGUCUCCCUCACAGUUUUCUCAGAUCUUCCUUAAUGAAAAAUGUACUUUCCCCCUGAAAUGUUCUUAGCAUCUUUUAUUUGAAUCUCUCUUUUGUUGCUAUCACAACCUAACUUCUACCAUACAAAUAUGUAAUGUCAUUUCCCAUCCCUACUCCUACUAAAAUGAAAAGCUCCUUGAGGUCAAGGACUGAUCUUUCUUAUCUUUUCAUUUCUAACUCCUAAAAUAGUGCCCUUAUUGAAUUAAUUUUUAAAUUUAUUCUUUUAAAAUGCAUUUAAAUUUUUAAAUGUAUCACAUUUUUAAGUAUUUCUUGAAUUAAAUUUUGCAACAUCGAAUUAAAUCAGGUCAAUAGCCUUUACUAAGUAUUUACUGUGUCAGGCACUAUACUACUAUACUGAGUGCUAGAAAUAUAAGCAAAAAAAAAAAAUUCCCUGCCCUCAAGGAGCUUACAUUCUAAUGGGGGAAGACUACAAAAAAAAAAAAGAAAGUUGAAAAGUUGAGGGAGGGGAAAUACAAUACCUACUGAGGACAUAGUAGAAAGAAAAUAGAAGAAUGAUGGAUAGGGUGGGUUCUUUCUCAAAAUAGAGGUUCCAGAAGGAACUCACCUGUGGCAGAAGGGGGCCAAUAGGACAGAGGGCAAAGGCAGCUGAAGCAUGAUGGUGAAAUUCUUUCUGUCAUUUAUUCAAGAAGAUGUAGAUUUUUAAAACAAUUUUAACUUAAUUCAACUUUGUUUUUACCAAGUUCAAAUAAAUAAACAUAUAUAAAUGGAUAUAGCUUAUGA